GUACGCUGGCGGCACGCCUAACACAUGCAAGUCGAACGAAGUAGCAAUACUUAGUGGCAGACGGGUGAGUAACAUGUAGGUAUCUACCCUUUGGCCUGGAAUAACACGAGGAAACUUGUGCUAAUACCGGAUAAGUCUUUACAGAGAAAGCUUUAUGCACCAUUGGAUGAGCCUGCACUUGAUUAGUUUGUUGGUGGGGUAAUGGCCUACCAAGACUGUGAUCAAUAGCUGAUUUGAGAGGAUGAUCAGCCACAUUGGGACUGAGACACGGCCCAAACUCCUACGGGAGGCAGCAGUGGGGAAUCUUGCACAAUGGAGGAAACUCUGAUGCAGCGAUGCCGCGUGAGUGAAGAAGGCCUUUGGGUUGUAAAACUCUUUCGUCGGGGAAGAAAAUGACUGUACCCGAAUAAGAAGGUCCGGCUAACU
This 426-nucleotide ribosomal RNA is filed under the name uncultured bacterium. RNAcentral's name for it is "bacterial SSU rRNA". It matches the Rfam family "Bacterial small subunit ribosomal RNA", at positions 31 to 502 of the family's 1533-position model. The record is from RNAcentral.